This 389-nucleotide ribosomal RNA is filed under the name uncultured bacterium. RNAcentral describes it as "bacterial SSU rRNA". It matches the Rfam family "Bacterial small subunit ribosomal RNA", at positions 28 to 412 of the family's 1533-position model. The record is from RNAcentral.
GAUGAACGCUAGCGACAGGCUUAACACAUGCAAGUCGAGGGGCAGCACGGUGUAGCAAUACACGGGUGGCGACCGGCGCACGGGUGAGUAACGCGUAUGCGACCUGCCCGCCACAGGGGAAUAACCGGGAGAAAUCCCGACUAAUACCGCGUAGACCUGAUUGAGGCAUCUCGAUUGGGGGAAAGCUUCGGCGGUGGCGGAUGGGCAUGCGGCGCAUUAGCUAGUUGGCGGGGUAACGGCCCACCAAGGCGACGAUGCGUAGGGGUUCUGAGAGGAAGGUCCCCCCACAUUGGUACUGAGACACGGACCAAACUCCUACGGGAGGCAGCAGUGAGGAAUAUUGGUCAAUGGGCGGAAGCCUGAACCAGCCAAGUCGCGUGAGGGAAGAC